This is a long non-coding RNA of Manihot esculenta (cassava), 2767 nucleotides long. RefSeq lists it as uncharacterized. The transcript has 3 exons. The record is from RefSeq and is a predicted model, not a curated record. Lineage: Eukaryota; Viridiplantae; Streptophyta; Magnoliopsida; Malpighiales; Euphorbiaceae.
GCAAGACUCUCCUGUUUCUCCUAUACACGUGUCAUAAUCUCAACAGGAUUUAUUCUUAUUAUGUUAUCAGAUGUCCUUUCACUUCUCUGAUGGUUAUUUAUGACGGUUGGAGAAACGAAUCGUAUCCAGGACUUUAUAGCCAGAUGUGUCCCUGUUAAUUUCUUUUCGAGUUACGAGGAGUGGUCCUAAGUAUACAUGACACACGCGCACGUCCUUCCAGACGCGUCUUGAUGGCUGCUGUUGUUUGGAUUACUAAAGCGCGAUUCUUUGAAUGCCCAUAAAUGUUUUAUUUUGAGUAUAAAAAUAGGUUUUUAUCUCCACUUUCUUACUUUCACAGCCUUCACUGUUCUUGCUCUAUCUAUUUGCUAUUCUUAGAGUCCCUCUCGCUUUUUUCUUCCUUUGUUCAGCUUUCUAAGUUUUAGGUACGCAUCUCUCUUCUAAUGACUCCUCUAUCGUUCCCCCGAAUUGAAAAGAUCAUUUCUAGGGUAAUCCCAUCUCUCUUCAGGAAGCUUUCCAUCGAUCCUUCCUUUCUAUGGAGACUCACUAUAUUUUAGCUCUGAAUCCAAACGAACGAAUUGCCCUGUUCUCCUUGCCUUCUCUCCCUGGUCCAGUGGACGCCCAAUUUGAGAGGAGGCUCAUUUUCUAUUUGAAACAAAUUGAUUAUGGCAUUUCUUUCCCUUUUUCUAGGUUUGUCCACUUUGUUUUUAGAUUUUACUAAGUCACCACUUGGAUGUUGACUUCGAAUUCCAUUUUGUUCAUGAUUGCCUUUGAGGCAAUGUAUUGAGGUUGGGUUUUACUCCUUCCUUGAGCUUGUUUAGGGUAUUUUUCAAGAUUUUAAAGGCUAAUAAUAGAUUCCUGAGUUUCUGUGGCAGAAAUAGCCAUUUUUACCAGCCAUAAGAACUCUUUUAAGUAUUGGAUAGAUAGUGUCACCAUAAUUGGAGCCAAAAGAAACUUUGAUUGGGGCUUAGAGUUAGGAUGGGGGACUAUUGAUACUUUUUGUAGCGUCUUUCCUUUUCUCUCUGAGUGAAAGCAGUUGUACUUUAUCGGAUCUCCUUCUUUUCUUUCAAAUAUGACAUUUUCAAGUGUUUGGAUAUUCGACCGUGGGAAGGUUGUAAUGCUGCCAAUAUUUAACUAUUCUUUUGUUGUUGCUUCUUUGUUAGCUUUGCUUAUUUUAUGUUUUUAUUUAUUUUUGGUACUUUUUGCAGCUUCCAUAGUCCCCAUAGAGGAUAUUUCGACUCCCCAUAAUUUUUUCCUCAAUCGUGAUAUUGUCCGGCAUGCUGUUGAGGCUUUCAAGACCUAGAAAACCAUGGGCCUGUGUCAACUCAGGUCUUCUCCUGCUGAGGAGGUUGGUGGAGGCUUGAAGCUAAAAAUUAUCGCCUGCCUUAGGAGACGACCGCUACUGCUUCAGGGAUGAUAGGAAAGAAAAAGAGGCUAGUGAAGGAAUCCGAGCUGGUCUCUUCUCAGAAGAGGACUUCAUCUUCCUCUCUUUCAAGAAAACCCUCCUCGGUUAAAGUGAGCAAGGGCAAAGGCAAGGAGGGCCAGUCUCAAGAGGCUUUCCAAUGAGUCAAGGCUGUCUUUCUAACUGAGCCUUGAUUCUACUCCUACCUCAAUUGCUGAGCUGCUGAGCAAUCACGUCUUCGGGCUAUCCCCUGAUUUGACUGAUCAUCGGAUGGUGAGAAAAAUUUGCAGGGUGAUUGAGUCCACCGAUCAGUCAAACUCAUUCACUAUUCGGAUGGAGGAGGACCUUUUUGGAGCUUCUAAGAGACAAGUUCUUAUUCUUUUGGGAGCUCUAUUAGAGCUUGAGAAUAAAAGAGUCGGUGCUCGGUAAGCUACCUUCCAAGAUAUUGAAAAAGCUAAAGGAGAGGAAACUGCUCGAGUAAUUACUACACUAAAGAGCUAAUACGAGGGGGAGAUGAACCGGCUGGAAGGGCUUCUUCAAGAUAACUAGGCCGAGGGUGAGAAGAUUGCUCUCCUGGAACUGCAAAUUGCUGAGGAGAGAUCUGCUACAAAAGCUAAGCUUGCUCAAGAGAAUGCUUCUGCGGAUCAGAGGGAAAGAAGUCUUUCAGCCCGGUCUGCCCAGCUUGAGGGGGAGAUGACAUAGUUAUCCGGGAAUUGGGGGAGGUCAAGUUGGAGUUGAGUAAUGUUCGAGGGAGCUCGAGUGCUUCUGAAGCUAUGAAGAGACAACUUGAGAGCGAGGUCCACGAUCUUUCUGCAUGAUGCAAUGACUAUGAAAAGAAGAUCGUUUGGAGUCAGGUCAACAAAUAUCUUAAGUUAGAUGAGUUUAAUGGCAAGGUCUUUGAAUAUUCCAUCCACUUUUAUGCGAUGGGCUUCAACGAUGACCUCCUAAAAGCUUGCGAGUCUCCGGCUGCUCCUCUUAGCACUCUCCGGGCUGUACAGUAUGACUCCAGUGGCGAAAAAGUGCAAUACAACCUUGAUGAGCGCGCUCUUUCCAAAGUGUGUCCUCCUCCCAAAGGGGCGUUGGCUGGCUUGGCAUUGAGUUCGAUCAAGACACCGAUCAGAUUGGUGAAAGUCCACUUGCGCUUGAGGCUGUAAAUGCCACUACGGAUUCUCCUUUGGCAAGUGAUGUUAUAGCAGCUCCGACCGUCGCAAUUGUUAAUGUUUUAGAGAAAACUUUCGAAGUUGAGUCCAACCUGACCGGAGACGUUAUCUCUUCUGAGGAGAAUUGAAGACCUUUCUCUUUUUCAAUAAUUUCUAUUUGUAAAUAUAUAACAGGCUAGUAUUUAAUUUCUAUUUGUAAAUAUGUAAU